Molecule: long non-coding RNA, 1461 nt
Filed under: Chinchilla lanigera (long-tailed chinchilla)
Lineage: Eukaryota; Metazoa; Chordata; Mammalia; Rodentia; Chinchillidae
Description: lncRNA (ENSCLAG00000027860.1)
Source: RNAcentral
GGCGGGGCAGCAGGGCAGCUCCACAGGAGCUGGGGAGAUCUGUACCAGUCAGAGGAAAGGGGGAGGCAUUCGAGACUUCAGCAUAGUUUGCACAAAUGGAAAGAGGGCGCUCCAGAAAAGUGGGAGCAGAGAGCUGCAGCUCAUAUCACAUCACGCUGAAUGGGGCUGGCCGUGCAGGACCCCCCUCCCUCCACCCCGGGCACCAAGAGUGUUCUGGGCUUGGCGGUCCCGGGGAACCUGCUCAUCAUUGCCGUCUUCACAGCCUCCUUGCUUCAGGCCCCUGGAACCCGCUCCUUACUAUAGGUUGAUCACCAGAGGGGAGAUCCCAGGCCAAGGAGUGACAGGGUAGAAUGCGGACAUGGUAACAGUGAAUCUGCCUGUGGGAAGGUCACCUCUGGGGUGAUGAAGGGAGACCUGAAGAAAGACAGAGCUCAGAGAUAAACCAGGAUGCUGCUACCAUAGUCCUGGGAGAAAACAAGAUGGUCUCCAGCAGGAGCAGGGAAGAUUUCUACUCCUCCAAGCCUGCCUGCUGCUCCAGUCUCUCCCAGAACCUGCUUCUCCCCGGAACUACAUCCUCCUAUGUACUCCUCUUCCCGGAGGCCCUGCACCGGAGGGGUAUCCGAGUUGUGAGCUCCUGGGCCCUCCUGAAGGCUCUCUCAGAUGUCAAGACUGAAAUUAUCCCUCCCUCAGCCUCCCAGGGCUGCAGGUUCUUCUUCUGCUUUUGGAGUCAGGCUUCAACAUGCUGUUGCUGUUGGACAUGGAUGAGGAGACAGGGCCGGAACCCCGUGGACGAUAUGUCCUCAGUGACCCAGAGAAUGGCUGCAGUCAGGCUCUCAUGGGACCCUCACUUCCAUGCUGCUUCCCCUCGCCAUGCUGGGUGGCAGCCAACCUGGCAGGAGGGCCGGAUGCUCACCCUGAAAGACAAAAGCCUUUGUGCAACUUCCUGUGGCCCUUAUUGUCUGCCGGCUCCCACCCUGCCUUGCCUUGUCAGAGACAAGAUAAGACAUAAGACUGAACUUUUCCUUUGUCACAUGGGGUCUCACUGGGACAUAGAAGUGACCACGCUUCACUGAACUCCAGUGGGAUAUUUAUACCACAGAGAAUCCUGAGACCCUCUAUCAAGUGUCUGUUCCCAGAAGGCUUCAAAAACUGUCCUGCAGGUAAACAGCUCAUGGUGAGUCUCAGCCACCUGCUCUCUAACUUCCCAGGGUUAACUGUGCUUUCAACACAACCAAACACCUGCUGGGAAAGUGCCAGGCCCAACACUAGGUUCCAUGGAUAUUAUCUCACUAAACAUCACAGCAACUUGCAGGGCAGAUUGUCAUUGUCUUCAUUUCACAACAAGGAAAUGGGUUUAAUAAGCUGACUGACUACACCCGCUUGUCUGGGACUGAGUGGUCUCCCAGGAUGGGGACUUGCAGCUUUGAAACAAAGCUGGUUUCAGGUAAAGCAGGACAGGCA